UACGGAGGGUGCGAGCGUUAUCCGGAAUCAUUGGGUUUAAAGGGUCCGUAGGCGGGAUAAUAAGUCAGUGGUGAAAGUCUGCAGCUUAACCGUAGAAUUGCCGUUGAAACUGUUGGCCUUGAGUCAUUAUGAAGUGGUUAGAAUAUGUAGUGUAGCGGUGAAAUGCAUAGAUAUUACAUAGAAUACCGAUUGCGAAGGCAGAUCACUAAUAAUGUACUGACGCUGAGGGACGAAAGCGUAGGUAGCGAACAGG
This 253-nucleotide unclassified non-coding RNA is filed under the name uncultured Flavobacteriaceae bacterium. RNAcentral describes it as "contains 16S-23S intergenic spacer region". It matches the Rfam family "Bacterial small subunit ribosomal RNA", at positions 524 to 776 of the family's 1533-position model. Lineage: Bacteria; Pseudomonadati; Bacteroidota; Flavobacteriia; Flavobacteriales; Flavobacteriaceae. The record is from RNAcentral.